ACGGCUCAGUAACACGUGGACAACCUGCCCUUAGGACGGGGAUAAACCCGGGAAACUGGGUAUAAUACCCGAUAGGUCUCGAUUGCUGGAAUGCAUCGAGAUUUAAAGCUCCGGCGCCUAAGGAUGGGUCUGCGGCCUAUCAGGUAGUAGUGGGUGUAGCGUACCUACUAGCCUACGACGGGUACGGGUUGUGAGAGCAAGAGCCCGGAGAUGGAUUCUGAGACACGAAUCCAGGCCCUACGGGGUGCAGCAGGCGCGAAAACUUUACAAUGCUGGCAACAGCGAUAAGGGAACCUCGAGUGCCAGGUUACAAAUCUGGCUGUCGAGAUGCCUAAAAAGCAUUUCAUAGCAAGGGCCGGGCAAGACCGGUGCCAGCCGCCGCGGUAACACCGGCGGCUCGAGUGGUAACCGUUAUUAUUGGGUCUAAAGGGUCUGUAGCCGGCCGGAUAAGUCUCUUGAGAAAUCUGGCAGCUUAACUGUCAGGCUUUCAGGAGAUACUGUCUGGCUCGAGGCCGGGAGAGGUGAGAGGUACUUCAGGGGUAGGGGUGAAAUCUUGUAAUCCUUGAAGGACCACCAGUGGCGAAGGCGUCUCACCAGAACGGACCUGACGGCAAGGGACGAAAGCUAGGGGCACGAACCGGAUUAGAUACCCGGGUAGUCCUAGCCGUAAACGAUACUCGCUAGGUGUCGGCCACGGUGCGACCGUUGUCGGUGCCGUAGGGAAGCCGUGAAGCGAGCCACCUGGGAAGUACGGCCGCAAGGCUGAAACUUAAAGGAAUUGGCGGGGGAGCACCACAACGGGUGGAGCUUGCGGUUUAAUUGGAUUCAACGCCGGAAAUCUUACCGGGACCGACAGCAAUAUGAAGGCCAGGCUGAAGACUUUGCCGGAUUAGCUGAGAGGUGGUGCAUGGCCGUCGUCAGUUCGUACUGUGAAGCGUCCUGUUAAGUCAGGCAACGAGCGAGACCCCUGCC
Molecule: ribosomal RNA, 972 nt
Filed under: uncultured archaeon
Lineage: Archaea
Description: bacterial SSU rRNA
Rfam family: Archaeal small subunit ribosomal RNA
Source: RNAcentral